AUACGGAGGGGGUUAGCGUUGUUCGGAAUUACUGGGCGUAAAGCGUACGUAGGCGGAUUAGUAAGUUAGGGGUGAAAUCCCGAGGCUCAACCUCGGAACUGCCUCUAAAACUGCUAGUCUUGAGUUCGAGAGAGGUGAGUGGAAUUCCUAGUGUAGAGGUGAAAUUCGUAGAUAUUAGGAGGAACACCAGUGGCGAAGGCGGCUCACUGGCUCGAUACUGACGCUGAGGUACGAAAGUGUGGGGAGCAAACAGAAUUAGAAACCCUAGUAGUCC
RNAcentral lists this ribosomal RNA (274 nucleotides) under uncultured bacterium. RNAcentral describes it as "partial 16S ribosomal RNA". It matches the Rfam family "Bacterial small subunit ribosomal RNA", at positions 523 to 796 of the family's 1533-position model. The record is from RNAcentral.